RNAcentral lists this transfer RNA (22 nucleotides) under Leichhardtia paulforsteri. RNAcentral describes it as "Marsdenia paulforsteri partial tRNA-Phe". The record is from RNAcentral. Lineage: Eukaryota; Viridiplantae; Streptophyta; Magnoliopsida; Gentianales; Apocynaceae. RNAcentral also lists the same sequence under 1 other name.
GUCAGGGUAGCUCAGCUGGUAG